GUAACAAGGUUUCCGUAGGUGAACCUGCGGAAGGAUCAUUAACGAAAUGGGAUCUCUCAAACGAGAGAUCCGACUCACCCACACCCGUGCACUCAGCGAACUCUGUAGAAGGCUCCCUCUCAAAGGGGGGGUCGAGACGUUCACUCCCUUUACAUCUCAAACGCCUGUGAAACGAGCAUGUCUAUCGAGCUCUACGGAGCGCAAACAAUACAACUUUCAACAACGGAUCUCUUGGCUUUCGCAUCGAUGAAGAACGCCGCGAAAGUGCGAAACGUAAUGUGAAUUGCAGAAUUCAGUGAAUCAUCGAAUCUUUGAACGCACCUUGCGCUCCUUGGUAUUCCGAGGAGCAUGCCUGUUUGAGUGUCGUGAAGUCUCUCGACCCCGUGGCCUUUACUGUGCCGGGGGUCGGAUUUGGACGCUGCCGUCUCUCGAAGACGGCUCGUCUCGAAAUGCAUUAGCCGUCCCCAUCGCGCAGACUACGGUGUGAUAAGUCACGUUCGCCGGCGUCCGUGUAAGGGGGUGGCUCACAGUCGUCUUCGGACAAACCGACCUUUAACGUCUGACCUCAAAUCAAGUAGGACUACCCGCUGAACUUAAGCA
This 600-nucleotide ribosomal RNA is filed under the name Geastrum indicum. RNAcentral's name for it is "eukaryotic LSU rRNA". The stretch from base 212 to 366 matches the Rfam family "5.8S ribosomal RNA". The record is from RNAcentral. Lineage: Eukaryota; Fungi; Basidiomycota; Agaricomycetes; Geastrales; Geastraceae.